RNAcentral lists this ribosomal RNA (431 nucleotides) under uncultured bacterium. RNAcentral describes it as "partial 16S ribosomal RNA". It matches the Rfam family "Bacterial small subunit ribosomal RNA", at positions 29 to 507 of the family's 1533-position model. The record is from RNAcentral.
AACGAACGCUGGCGGCAGGCUUAACACAUGCAAGUCGAGCGCCCCGCCAGGGGUGCGGCCGACUGGUGAGUAACGCGUGGGAACGUACCUUUUGGUUCGGAACAACUCCGGGAAACUGGAGCUAAUACCGGAUAAGCCCUAACGGGGAAAGAUUUAUCGCCGAAAGAUCGGCCCGCGUCUGAUUAGCUAGUUGGUGAGGUAACGGCUCACCAAGGCGACGAUCAGUAGCUGGUCUGAGAGGAUGAUCAGCCACACUGGGACUGAGACACGGCCCAGACUCCUACGGGAGGCAGCAGUGGGGAAUAUUGGACAAUGGGCGCAAGCCUGAUCCAGCCAUGCCGCGUGGGUGAUGAAGGCCUUAGGGUUGUAAAGCUCUUUUGUCCGGGAAGAUAAUGACUGUACCGGAAGAAUAAGCCCCGGCUAACUUCGUG